GAAUACCAUUGCUCAGUGGUCGAGCAUCUGCUUUGCAUGCAGAAGGUCCCAGGUUCAAUCCCCUACAUCUUCA
Podarcis lilfordi (Lilford's wall lizard) is the source of this 73-nucleotide non-coding RNA. Lineage: Eukaryota; Metazoa; Chordata; Lepidosauria; Squamata; Lacertidae. The record is from the annotation of a GenBank genome assembly.